UGCAGUCGAGCGGUAGCACAGGAGAGCUUGCUCUCUGGGUGACGAGCGGCGGACGGGUGAGUAAUGUCUGGGAAACUGCCUGAUGGAGGGGGAUAACUACUGGAAACGGUAGCUAAUACCGCAUAACGUCUUCGGACCAAAGUGGGGGACCUUCGGGCCUCACGCCAUCAGAUGUGCCCAGAUGGGAUUAGCUAGUAGGUGGGGUAAUGGCUCACCUAGGCGACGAUCCCUAGCUGGUCUGAGAGGAUGACCAGCCACACUGGAACUGAGACACGGUCCAGACUCCUACGGGAGGCAGCAGUGGGGAAUAUUGCACAAUGGGCGCAAGCCUGAUGCAGCCAUGCCGCGUGUGUGAAGAAGGCCUUCGGGUUGUAAAGCACUUUCAGCGAGGAGGAAGGGUGGUGUGUUAAUAGCGCAUCACAUUGACGUUACUCGCAGAAGAAGCACCGGCUAACUCCGUGCCAGCAGCCGCGGUAAUACGGAGGGUGCAAGCGUUAAUCGGAAUUACUGGGCGUAAAGCGCACGCAGGCGGUUUGUUAAGUCAGAUGUGAAAUCCCCGCGCUUAACGUGGGAACUGCAUUUGAAACUGGCAAGCUAGAGUCUUGUAGAGGGGGGUAGAAUUCCAGGUGUAGCGGUGAAAUGCGUAGAGAUCUGGAGGAAUACCGGUGGCGAA
RNAcentral lists this ribosomal RNA (673 nucleotides) under uncultured bacterium. RNAcentral describes it as "bacterial SSU rRNA". It matches the Rfam family "Bacterial small subunit ribosomal RNA", at positions 56 to 719 of the family's 1533-position model. The record is from RNAcentral.